RNAcentral lists this long non-coding RNA (1222 nucleotides) under Phasianus colchicus (ring-necked pheasant). RNAcentral's name for it is "lncRNA (ENSPCLG00000021997.1)". The record is from RNAcentral. Lineage: Eukaryota; Metazoa; Chordata; Aves; Galliformes; Phasianidae.
CAAAUUGGCCCCAAGCAUGGAAAACAAACAUACGUGUGGAGACAACCUGGGCGUGACUGCGGCUCUGGAGAAGAACAGCUUUCUGCUGACUGAAGAGGAAGGAGGAAAACAAGAGCCUUGCAACAACCUCCUAUCACUGUUGUGCAAUCCAGAUUCAAGCCUUUGGUGGCUCUGGGAAAGUGACAGGAGCUCUGCUUGACACCAUUAACCUUGACGGUCAGGGCUACUUCUGCUCACGUGCAUGUUAAAGGAAUGACUGUAUUUUCAGAGGAUUUGAAUAAUUGGACAUUUGUUUUAAUAUAGAUCAUUAAGUGCAUGCCACAUAUUAGCUGUUAUUUCAUUAAUUAUUCGUCACAUAUAAUCUUAAUUUAAAAAGUUCUAGUUAUCCAGUCAUCCAAGGAUGCUGUCACGCAACUUGUGACAUAAUUUCAUAAUCAUUUUAUGUUACAAAAAUCUGUCACUGCUUCUUGGAAGAUGGUGUCACCUGCCCAUUUUUUCCCUUCAUCCUACACGGUCCCGUUUUUCAGCACAAGAAUUCACUUGGUCUUUCAGAGAAAGAGGCCAAGAAUAUGACCUAGGUUAAAACUAACACCACAAAGGGCAGACAAGCACUUGUGCUGGUGCACAAAGGAACUGGCAGAACAGGGAGUGCACAGGAGUUUCUGGAGGAGAAUUCAUCUUCUGAUGGUCUGUGUAAACUGGAACUGAUUGAGAAAGAAGAUUGUAAGAUGACUGUUACCCUUGCCUGAGGAAGAAAUGGUGCACAGCCAAAGCAACAAGUUUGUGACUGCCCUAGAUGGCAAACGUGUUUUAAGUUCUCCUAGAUGUGGGUGCCUCCUCUUGCAAGGCUGAAGAAAACCUCCUAGGUGCCCUUGGGAGGCCUGUGGUACCAGUAGUCUCCACCACAGCACCAUAUGCUGAACACGCAGGUAGGAGUGACAGCGUGGUCUCAUAUAAAGACACCAGGCAGUGGUUCUCCAUCCCCACUGGAAAAGCUGGCCUACCUUCAUCAAAAGAAAAAGGUUUAAACCAAAUGACCACUUUGUAUUAACUUUGAAGUUAAGCUUUCUGUUCAGUUUAAGAAAUUUCUGCCUGUAUCCCUAGUGCUGUCACCAUGCUGCAUUUCCUUGUGUGUUUACGACCCAGACUAAUUGCUUGGACUGGUAGCCAAUCUGUGCCACUGCAGGGAGAGGAAAACUACUGUUUUUAAAAUGCAGGUUAC